Nannospalax galili (Upper Galilee mountains blind mole rat) is the source of this 909-nucleotide long non-coding RNA. RefSeq lists it as uncharacterized. The record is from RefSeq and is a predicted model, not a curated record. The transcript is spliced from 3 exons. Lineage: Eukaryota; Metazoa; Chordata; Mammalia; Rodentia; Spalacidae.
CCUCCUUCAAGAAUGACUGCCCGCAGACCGAAGGGGUCGGGCUUCCCUUCUCUCUUUGUUGGGACUGAGCUUGCAGGGCCAGGGUGCGGGGACCAUGGAAGGCUCUAGGCGGCGCCCCUCUCGGGGGUUGGGCAUGCUCACGGUGGCCAGGAGGCAGGCGAGAAAGAAGAAGCCAGCCACGCAGAGGAAGAAAUAAGCAACAGGAGCAACAUUGGGCUGUAUGACCAGCAGAGCCAGCCCCAGGAGGAGGGAGGCGCUGCUCAGGAAGAGAAAUGGCUGCUUCAGUUUCCCCCACAACUGCCCUGGCACCAUGGCCCCUCCCAGGGCACCUGCAGAAAGACACACCAGCUAUGUGUUAAGGAGCAGUUGGCAUCACAGCAGAGCAACACACCAAAGGGUCAUCAGUUUGCCCAACCAGAGACCAUGAACAUGCUGCAGAAAUCCAUAGUCUCCUUGGAUACACUUGGAACAUGCCAUCAAAAUUACUUUGUAUUUUAUUCCUUAUCAGUAUGUAAAUACUGUUUUAUUAUGAGUUAUUAAAAUACAUAAAAUAAUUUCACAAUGAAUGUCCAUGUACUCACCACAUAUUUUUACAACCAACAUUAUAUUAUAGUGCUUUAUUCCAUGCCGUUUUCCAAUGCACCUUCCUUUUCAAUACAUUUCAAAGGGAUCUGAAGACAGUGCAACACUUCUGCCUAAAUACUUCAGCAUAAAGUGAGUUUAGUAUUUGUCUGCAGUAAUUUUUUCCUUUGAAGUAAAAUUUGCCUUCCGUGAGACACAUUUUAAGAGGGCCAUUCCCUAAAUUAAAACAAUUAUUUUAUUUAUUAUUUUUAUUUUAUGUGUAUGAGUGUUUUGCCUGCAUGUAUGUAAGUGCACCAUGUGAAUGUAAUGCCUGUAGAGGCCAGAGGA